RNAcentral lists this small RNA (29 nucleotides) under Bombyx mori (domestic silkworm). RNAcentral describes it as "ovarian small RNA-37826". Lineage: Eukaryota; Metazoa; Arthropoda; Insecta; Lepidoptera; Bombycidae. The record is from RNAcentral.
UUGCCACGUACCAUCCUGCUUUGGAAUGA